RNAcentral lists this long non-coding RNA (3266 nucleotides) under Podarcis lilfordi (Lilford's wall lizard). The record is from RNAcentral. Lineage: Eukaryota; Metazoa; Chordata; Lepidosauria; Squamata; Lacertidae.
GACAUCUGGUGGGAGGGCGUUCCACAGGGCGGGUGCCACUACCGAGAAGGCCCUCUGCCUGGUUCCCUGUAACUUGGCUUCUCGCAGCGAGGGAACCGCCAGAAGGCCCUCAGCGUUGGACCUCAGUGUCCGGGCAGAAUGAUGGGGGUGGAAUAUGGUCUGAAAUGAGUUGGGCAGCAGCAGCGAUUCCCUUUGCAAUCUAAUAGGCACUCCAGGAAAGAGGCAUCAACAGCCCUCAAACAAAAUGCUCUUUAUAAUUAAUUCAUUAUCAUUAAUCAGCACUAUUAUUUAUACUGUUCAAUGCCAAAACAAACCUCCAAACAGAUUUCAAGUAGUAGACAUACGUUUUUAGAUAAGGCAACUAAAUUGAUAAAGCCUACCUGUUUAAUGUGAGGGCAGCGUAAUGAACUUGGGGAAGUGCGUACAUACAUUCAAAAUAUGGCAGGAGUUAUUCUAAAAUUAAAUGUAUGGGGAAAGAGGCAAAAGACCUGGUAAACUGUAUAGGUUGAAAGUAUGCCUGCAUUGUAUAGGGUGGAAUAUAAUAGAGGGUUAUUAUGAGAUGGUGUCCGGCCCCAUUUUGAGGAGCAUCUGGUUCGGAACAAAUUAUCCCCCAGGGAUGCAGGGGAAAUGUAUAUUAUUGCUCAAAUGAGGAGGAUAGAAUUUGGCAUUGAGAGUUCAGGGACACAUAAUAGUAAUUCAGAGAGGUCAUAGCACCAUAGGGUAAAAUGUGUGCCAAAGACAUUUAGAGAGAUACAACAUGUACAAGUUAUCUAUAUGCUAAUGCUAGAAGCUUCUGAGUCAAGAUGGAUUUUUGGUCUUAGAGGACUGCACAGAUACAGUGGGCAUAAUGGAAACCUGGUAGAUGGAGUGGGGAUGAAAGCCCUUUGAAGCAGCUCACUAUUCUCCUUUCAGCCUCAAGCUAGUGGCACCAGGGUUGGGGAGACAACUCUCCUGUACUCCUCCACUGCCUCUGCCUCUUCACUUAAAGGACAAGUACAAGCUGCUUCAAGCAAGGCUUUUACAAAGCACAUUAAGGGAGCCUCCAGCACUAAGCAGGACACAGGCGCCCCAAUUGGCCAAUGCAAUGGAAGGGGGAGCCAGCUUGUUCUGGGCACGUGCCUGAGCUUACUGCGCAGAGGUCUCUGGCACACCCAAACCCAGCACUCAGCAGGAUCAUACCAUGUCCCCCUGGGCACCAGCUGAUGUGACAAGGAUCCUGCUGUAGGUGCACGUGUACAAAAAAGCCUUCUACAGGGAGUUCUCUCUCACGUACAUGAACCCAGCCAGUUUGGAAGAGCAUGUAACAGAAAGUAAGGCACUACCAAUGGGAAGGUUUCUUCCUUUGAAAGGAAGUGGGGGGAGUUCCCAUUAGUAGCACCUUGCUGCCUGCUACCUGCCUUGAAGUCCUGACUUUGGGACUUCAAAGCACCAAAUCCUCUGAAUUCAUUUGUGACCCACCCCCUGUCAAAUUUGGCCCGUGAGACAGAUUAUGAUAAGGAUCUGGCCCAUGGAGCCGGAAAGUUUCCCUAUCCCCAAUGUAUCCCACCUAUCAAAUUCAAUAUAUAUAAUAACUAGUGGCCUUGUAACUGGUGUUUAGAAAUUGCAAGAAACCAAGCAAUACAGCUUGAAAUUGGUAAAUAAAAUCAGUGCAGUUUUGAAAGUUGCACCUUUGUUCUGUUUUCUAAGAACUGCAGCCAUCUACUAUAAAAUUUUUAUCACAUGGCAUUUUUUACAUUUUGUGGCUAAAACAUGAAUUUACAUUUACUUUGGAUAAUAAGGAUUUUUAUGCAGUGUAUUCACUUUGAAUUAUUUUCUUCUUUGGAACUUUGCUAGAAAUUUGGGUUAGGUUUUUAAACCUUUACUUAGUUUUCUAGAGAGGGGUCACAGUACUGCCAUUUCAUGUUAAAAUCUACUUUUCUAGUAAAGUGCCCUAGUAGAACCAUGAUGCACAAAGCAGAAGUAGGGGAGACCAUAGCCUGACUCUAUCCUAUGAGUAUCUCAAUUGGUAGACCAUGAGACUCUUCAUCUCAAGAUCAUGGGUUUGAGCUUCAUGUUGGGCAAAAGAUUCCUGCCUUGCAAGGGAUUGGACUAGAUGGCCCUCAUGGUUCCUUCCAACUCUACAAUUCUAUGAUUCCUCAGUGCUGAAGUAGUUUUCAGGUGUUAUUUAAUGUAGUUUCUUGUGCCAGAAAGUCAUGUUUGCAAAUAAGUCCACAGAUGUUAUUAGCCCAUGAAAACAUUUGUCAAGAACGGUUUUCCAUGCUAAGUAAAUAUUUAUUUUCAGUGUUUUCUCCAGUAAGCAUUGGCCUCAUAUUGUUGUUGCAUAUUGUUUCUCUCUGUCACAUUUUGAUGUUUAAAAAGAAAGCACAUGUUGUGCUAGGCAUUCUGUAGACCUAAGCAGAUUAGACUGGUUUCAAAUUAUAUAGCAAAAGCAUUGCAAACUGGGUAACACCAGCAAAAGGAAAUCAAGGUCCCGUGAAGUGAUGAAAAUGUUUUGGUCAGCAAGGGAGUGGAAGUUUCACAUCUUACUUUUCUGCUGAUACUUUCACAGUUCAUAUCUGCAUCCCUUACUGGAAGCUCCCAUUUUAAAUAAGUACUAAAAAUAGCCAAGGCUCUGUAAGUUUGGGUAGGAUAAUCUAAAAAAUGUGGUGUCAGCUCUGCAAGGAUAUAGUGUUUUGUGGGUGAUUUCUCCUUUAUUAUACAAUACUUUAUUGUAAAGAACAAGGCUGUGAAAGAUCAAACUAGUAAUGUCCAGUUAUUCCAUUUUGCAAAAUAUGAGGGAUAUUGCAAAUGCUGAUAGCAAAUGAGAUUUUUGCAUACUGCUAUUUCUUUGACGAUGGAAAUCUAUAUGCUUUGUAUAUACAUGGCACUUCAGGUGAUAAAUGUUUAGCAAGGCUCCUAACGCAGCGGCAAGUGAAACCUCAUCCAGGACACAGGAAAUCAGUAGCAGUAGUCUUCUCUUAAUUGUAAUUAGCCCUGUCAUUUUUGAAUAUCAAGCAAAUUAAGUGGCUUAUUAUUGCUCUUGUUCCAACUGAGAGCCAGUGUGGUGUAGUGGUUAAGAGUGGUAGACUCAUAAUCUGGUGAACCAGUUUCGCGUCCCCACUCCUUCACGUGCAGCUGCUGGGUGACCUUAGGCUAGUUACACUUCUCUGAAGUCUCUCUCUCUCUCUUUUUUUAAAAAAAUAAUAUUUAUUACUUUUCCAAAAAAUUUAAACACUAAAAAAACCCAACCCCCCAAUACAAUACAAUACAAUACAAUACAUUAAACU